This 256-nucleotide ribosomal RNA is filed under the name uncultured bacterium. Its description in RNAcentral is "partial 16S ribosomal RNA". It matches the Rfam family "Bacterial small subunit ribosomal RNA", at positions 521 to 776 of the family's 1533-position model. The record is from RNAcentral.
UAAUACGGAGGAUCCGAGCGUUAUCCGGAUUUAUUGGGUUUAAAGGGUGCGUAGGCGGUUCAAUAAGUCAGUGGUGAAAGUUUUCGGCUUAACCGGAAAAUUGCCGUUGAUACUGUUGGGCUUGAAUUUGGUUGCUGUGAGUGGAAUGUGUGGUGUAGCGGUGAAAUGCUUAGAUAUCACACAGAAUAUCGAUUGCGAAGGCAUCUCACAAAGCCAAUAUUGACGCUGAUGCACGAAAGUGUGGGGAUCAAACAGG